Molecule: long non-coding RNA, 1351 nt
Filed under: Homo sapiens (human)
Lineage: Eukaryota; Metazoa; Chordata; Mammalia; Primates; Hominidae
Description: long intergenic non-protein coding RNA 511
Source: RNAcentral
GGGAAACCACUGGAUUUAUUAAUGAGAAAAUGAAGGCUUGUGUUUAAGCCUCGUCUCUGAGCCCAUGGAACAGACUUACGGCGUAUGACCUCAUCGGAGACUUGUACAUGGGGCCAACCCCCAUUUUCCCACAGGAAACCCACACUCUAAUUAAGGGCUGACCCUGAACUUGAAUCUGAGUCUUCUCUUUCUUCAACAGAGAGCCAUCUCUCCAGCCCAGCUGGCAAGGAGACAGGUGAUGUUACAGGAAAAAAUACACAGCUUGUGCCCUUGGAAUUACCAGAGUUCAAAGCCUGUUCAGCAUCUACCCACCAUGUGACCCGGGUCGAAUUCUUCAGUUUCUCUAAGCCCAUUUUCUCAUCUGUAAGAUGGGGAAGUGUAAUCAGUUCUGAACCCACAUAUACCUCACUGGGCUUGAACAGGCCUGAGCAGGCAUGUGGGGCUUUACUAGCUAGCCAUCCUUUCUGCCGCUCUCCCUCAUUCUCCUUCAAGCCCCCCAAAGUCCUUGGUGGAGGAGGAAGUGGAGACAGAACGUUUGGUGUUGGGUGAGGUACGUGAGGAGGCUGAUUUCAGAACCUCCAGGAAACAAAGCUUUAGUGUUCCGAGGGCAGUGCCCGCCUGUGCCUCCUCCUCACAGGGGGUAGUAGGAGUGGGGUGGGGCCGAGGCAUUUCCCAGCACAGCUCAAUCACAUCUCCUGCGCCUGCCCUUGUGACCUGCUCACUGGAAAGGAAGAAAUGACCGAGGGAGAAGGGAGGGCAUUUGAGGGGAGAAGAAGAGGAUGGAGAAAAAAACUGGAUCAUCUCGUGACAUGGAAAGAAAGGUCUGAGCUCUGACGAUCCCCUCACGUGAUUAUAGGCAUGAGGACUCACUCUUCGAAUUGUUUGAAAAUUGAAUGGACUGGCUCACACCUUCUGAAAUUUCUUGGAAGCUCUGGAGUAACUAUUCCACUAAAGAACAGCGUGUUUUUGGCUGAAAUCUGUGACUGUUUGUUUUUGAGUUAUUUUAAUCUCUGUGUCAAGCAUGAAAACCUCAGCAGCCUGGGAUUUAUAAUUAGAUCCCACUGGCAUGCCCUCUCACCUCUCAAACAUGCCACAGUGCUUUGGCUCUCUCCUUGUGCAAACCUCCCUUUGAUAUUUUUGGAUAUCGAUACCAAGUGUAUCUGCAUAUUUUAACCAACUGAUAUGCAUAUCCUGUGAUCUGAGGCAUUCGCUCAAUGUGGGGCAUCAGGCCAGCUGUGAACUUCCUUUAAAAUUUAUUUUGUGUCAAAUGAUUCCCUAAUGCUAUAGCUCCCUUGAACUGCUAGAUUUAUGAAAAUUCUGCACAACACAUAGCUCAGAGAAAAAAAAAAAA